GCUGCCAUACUCUCUCGGCCGUGACUCCGACAUGAAAAAUGCAGCUCCGGGCUCUCCACCUGUGUCACCUUCUUCUUACCUGAACUCACCUGUUCUCUUUCUUCACCUUCUUCUUAUUGUGCUUCUCUAACCUGCUGCUGCGGCCUCAAGGUCCUGGUGGGCGCCAUGCUGUUGAACUCUGACCUCGUGUUAGGUGCACGGAUGGCCACAACCUGUCGGGAUAGGCCUUUUGGCGCUCGCUGGAUGUAACAGCAACUCCAUGUGGAAGCGGCAUCAAGUUCCAGUGGAGGUGCUGUUACUUGCAGAGAAUGGCCACCGGCUGCAAGAAAAGUGUGAUGCUGCCAUAGCUUGGUGGAAACGUUCGUUGGCCAAAAGGAGUUAUGGGGCGCAAGGCGAUGACCUAUGAAUUGACAGCCAGUGAUUGCAAUGUCUGCCUGUCAUUUUUGUAGGCCACUGCUGUUUGUCCUUCAGAACAUAUGGAAAGUCGUUGCAUGCCAUGUAAAUACGGUUCACCAUUUUCCUCUUUAUGAAUCGUACUCCGAAUAAAGUCCAACAUAGCAUUUGA
Long non-coding RNA from Nerophis ophidion (straightnose pipefish), 565 nucleotides. RefSeq lists it as uncharacterized. Lineage: Eukaryota; Metazoa; Chordata; Actinopteri; Syngnathiformes; Syngnathidae. The record is from RefSeq and is a predicted model, not a curated record. The transcript is spliced from 2 exons.